CGCGAAUGGCUCAUUACAACAGCUAUAAUUUACUUGAUCUUGACAAAUCCUACUUGGAUAACUGUGGUAAUUCUAGAGCUAAUACAUGCAUUAAAGCUCUGAUCUUCGGGGAAGAGUGCAUUUAUUAGAACAAAACCAAGCGGCUUCGGCUGUUUUCGGUUGACUCAUAGUAACUGAGCUGAUCGCAUGGUCUUGCACCGGCGACGUGUCGUUCAAGUAUCUGCCGUAUCAACUUUCGAUGGUAGUGUAUCUGACUACCAUGGUGAUCACGCGUAACGGAGAAUAAGGGUUCGACUCCGGAGAGUUCGCCUGAGAAAUCGCGAACACAUCUAAGGAAGGCAGCAGGCGCGAAAAUUACCCACUCUCAGCACGAGGAGGUAGUGACGAAAAAUAACGAGACCGUUCUCUUAUGAGGCCGGUCAUCGGAAUGGGUACAAUUUAAACCCUUUAACGAGUAUCUAUGAGAGGGCAAGUCUGGUGCCAGCAGCCGCGGUAAUUCCAGCU
Molecule: ribosomal RNA, 504 nt
Filed under: Cervidellus vexilliger
Lineage: Eukaryota; Metazoa; Nematoda; Chromadorea; Rhabditida; Cephalobidae
Description: SSU rRNA
Rfam family: Eukaryotic small subunit ribosomal RNA
Source: RNAcentral